UACGAAGGGAGCUAGCGUUGUUCGGAAUCACUGUGCGUAAAACGCACGUAGGCGGACUUGUCAGUCAGGGGUGAAAUCCUGAGGCUCAACAUCAGAACUGCCUCCGAUACAGCAAGUCUCGAGUCCGGGAGAGGUGAGUGGAAUUCCUAGUGUAGAGGUGAAAUUCGUAGAUAUUAGGAAGAACACCAGUGGCGAAGGCGGCUCACGGGCCCGGUAAUGACUAUGAGGUGCGAAAGCGUGGGGAGCAAACAGG
RNAcentral lists this ribosomal RNA (253 nucleotides) under uncultured bacterium. Its description in RNAcentral is "partial 16S ribosomal RNA". It matches the Rfam family "Bacterial small subunit ribosomal RNA", at positions 524 to 776 of the family's 1533-position model. The record is from RNAcentral.